This is a long non-coding RNA of Planococcus citri (citrus mealybug), 716 nucleotides long. RefSeq lists it as uncharacterized. Lineage: Eukaryota; Metazoa; Arthropoda; Insecta; Hemiptera; Pseudococcidae. The record is from RefSeq and is a predicted model, not a curated record. The transcript has 2 exons.
UACUACCAACUCGGAAAUGUAAUGCCUGUUUUUUUUUUUUUUUACUUCUUCUUCUUUAACAAAAGUACGUACUGUAUGCCGACCUUGAAAACGUAUCGCAAUUUUUAUUUAUAAUCGUUAUCUACAUAUGUAAGGUAAUGGAUUAGAUGGAUAGGUAUUGAAUACCUAUCUAGCUACGGUUCGAGUAAUCUGCGACACUUGUUCCUCGAUUUGAUUUGUUUACCGUGUUUAUUUUUUAUUUUUCCUUUCCUAUUCUGUAUAAUAUUUCUCUUUUCCUUUUUUUUUUUUUUUUUUGUAACUUUUCGAUUGUUAUACUAAGCGAACUCGUAAAGAAGAGUACAUAGGUAGUAAUGACUCAUUAAUACUUAAUGAAAAUGGCGAAACGUUCUGAACGACGUGUUGUGUAUUUGCAGGUAUGGUUGGAUGUACCUAUGUAUGUAGAUGUACUACCUGUACCUGUGCAUGAACUACUUACUACGUAUAAUGUACUACGUGUGAAUAUGUAAAUUUAACCGAUAUUCGUAGUCAUUAUUUUCGAUCGGUUUUACAAUCUAUUGUCACGAUUGGUAUUAAAUAAAGGAUCUUGGAAAUGAUGCCCGAAAUUCCGUAUAUAGAUAGGGUGAAGAUGAUGGUGAUCAUUGAUUAUCAACGUAAACAAUUAAGAAGACUGUUACAAAACAAUAUAAAUAAAUAAAACAAUUUUUAAAACAGAAUAA